UACGGAGGGUGCAAGCGUUGUCCGGAUUUAUUGGGUUUAAAGGGUCCGUAGGCGGUCAGAUAAGUCAGUGGUGAAAGCCCAUCGCUCAACGGUGGAACGGCCAUUGAUACUGUCUGACUUGAAUUAUUAGGAAGUAACUAGAAUAUGUAGUGUAGCGGUGAAAUGCUUAGAGAUUACAUGGAAUACCAAUUGCGAAGGCAGGUUACUACUAAUUGAUUGACGCUGAUGGACGAAAGCGUGGGUAGCGAACAGG
RNAcentral lists this ribosomal RNA (253 nucleotides) under uncultured bacterium. RNAcentral's name for it is "partial 16S ribosomal RNA". It matches the Rfam family "Bacterial small subunit ribosomal RNA", at positions 524 to 776 of the family's 1533-position model. The record is from RNAcentral.